UGCCAUCUGCAGCCCCCAUCAAGACAGUAGCCACAUCUAUGGAACCCACUGCAAAGGCCAUUUUGGACACCUUGGGCUUACAACCAAGUCCAGGGUCCAACCUAACAUCCCAGAGCCAGAACAACAUCUGUGGUAUUUGCAUUGGAUGUAUUGCAAGCAACCCUUCAUCUUCAUAGAAUCAUAGGGUUGGAAGAGGCAUCAGAAGGUCAUCAAAUCCAAACCCCUGCUACAGGUAGGACCAAUCCCAACUCAGUCAUCUGAGUCAGGGCAUCCUCAUGUCAUGACUUAAAAACAUCCAGAGAUGGAGAUUCCACCACCUCUCUAGGGAACCCAUUCCAGUGCUUCACCACCCUCCUUGUGAAAUAGGCCCUAAAUCUCCCCCACCGAAAAAAUGAGACCAUUGCUUAUUGUUCUGUCAUCUGUCACUGCUGAGAACAGCUUCUCACCAUCCUCUUGGAAAAACCCCCUUUCAUAGAGUACUAUGGUACUUGGGAUGGUACUUGGUCCUGCUGUGAAGGCAGGGGACUGGACUCGAUGACCUUGCAAGGUCCCUUCCAGUUCUAGGAGAUAGGCAAUCUCCAUUAUAGAGUAGAAGGCUGCUAUAAAAUCCCUCCUCACUGUUCUCUUCUAUAGACUAAAUAAGCCCAAAUCCCUCAUCCUUGCCUCAUAAAUCAUGUGGUUUAGUCCCUUAAUCUUUUUUGUUGCACUUUAGUGGACUUUCUCCAAUGCCUCCACAUCCUUUCUGUAAUGGGGGCCCCAGAAUUGGAUGCAGUACUCCAAAUGUGGACUCACCAGUGCCAAAUAAACAGGAGUAAUCACUUCCCUAGACCUGCUGGCAAUACUACUACAGAUGGACCCCAAUAUGCCGUUAGCCUUCUUGGCUAAAAGGGCACAAUAUUGACUCAUAUCCAGCUUCUCAUACACUGUAAUCCCUAGGUCCUGUUCUUCUGAACUGCUGUUUAGCGAGUCAGUCCCCAGCUUAUAGCAGUGCUUGGGAGUCUUCCAUUCAGUUGGACCUCAUCACAUUUCUUUUGGCUCAGAUCUCUCUGGACCUUAUCCCUACCUUCCAAUGUGCCUACCUCUCCCCCUAGUUUAGUAACAUCUGCAAACUUUCAGAGGGUGCAAUCCAUCCCCUCAUCCAGGUCACUAAUAAUGAUGUUGAACGAAACCAGUGCAAGAACCAACUCUUGGGGCACUCUGCUUGAUACUGACCACCAACCAGACAUCACAUCAUUGAUCACUAUCUGUUGAACCUGACUAGUUAGCCAUCUUUUUAGCCACCUUUCAGUCCAUUUAUCCAAUCCAUACUAGUUUAACUUCUUUAUGCUGGAAGUGCAAUGGCUCCUAUUUCUAGUAGAGGAGCUUCCUCAGGAGCACGGGGCAAGGGUUUUUACUUUUGGUAUUUUCUAAUGCAAAAGGCCAAGGAUAGUCUCAGGCCCAUUCUGGACCUGUGAGAAACAAAAGUUCUUCUUUGAAUGAUGUCCCCAUAGGUGCUCCACUGUUGGUGUUGGGCUCGUCCCACACCGCAGAUCAGAAUCUUUUUCUAGCUGUGUCUAAUUGGGUUGCGCAUGCAUGAGAGUGCCAUUUGCACCAUUGGAGCUCAUGCAUGUGGCCCAACUCCCCUCAAUCCCUUUUUGACUGCCCUCCAUCACAGACGGAGCUCUAUCCCUCUCCUCCUCUUUAGUUCUCUGAAGAUAGGAAUUGAGUUGUAAUUAGUUAAAAUGGUUAGUUCUUUGUUAUUUUUAUAGUUAGUAAUCAUUAGUUAAAAAACCAUUUUUUUCUUCAUAACUGUUGUAAAUAGUUAAGGCACAGCUCCUAAGGGACAGCACACUGCCAGCCUUGACCCUAAGGCCUCCUCUUCAUUA
Molecule: non-coding RNA, 1865 nt
Organism: Pelodiscus sinensis (Chinese soft-shelled turtle)
Lineage: Eukaryota; Metazoa; Chordata; Testudines; Trionychidae
Source: RefSeq, a predicted model, not a curated record